UCCACCACUGAGUACAAAUCUGUCAGUCUGCGUUAUUCAUUGUCUAAUUCUUUAUUCUGCCCACUUAUUCUUUUGGGUUGGGAGACACAGUGAGCAUUCUUCCAUCCAAAGGUUAAAGCAAUAUUUACAAGUCCUUUAAACAGAGAAGCUGAGCAGCCCGCCCUGCAAAGGCAAGCAUCCAUCCAGCAGAAGAGUCAGACUGGUUGGCCGGAGACCACUGGAGAAGGACAGUUAAGGGGCUAGAGGUGCAAGCAAGGAGAGAAAACAGGACACCCUGAAGCUAAUCAGGGUGGUCAAAGAGGAAAACGGAGAACUGAGAAAGGGGAGGAAACUGUACGCACAGAACUGCAAGGAGGAAAACCACAAGGAGAGCAGACCUACACUAUGAGCAACCCCAAAUAUGUGAAGAUCAAAGACAGCAUACCUGCCACUCAGAAUCUGCCUCCUUAUGAAGAGCCUGAUGCAAUGAAACCUCCGGCUGGGCCAGCACCCCUUGAGGGCUAUGGGGCACCUCCCCAGUACCAGCCUUAUUAUAGCCCACCUGGAGCAGGAUUCAACCAAGGACCGGUCCUUCAACCACCACAGACCAUUGUCAUCACACGGGUCCAGCCUACCAAUGAACCUGAUCACCUGGCCUACUCCAUCUUUACCAUGCUUUGCUGUUGCCUACCUCUGGGCAUUGCUGCUUUGGUUUACUCUGUACAGACGCAAGAAGCCAACCGCGUUGGAAACAGUGUUACUGCCCGGCGAAGCUCAAGGCUGGCGCUCCUCUUGGCCCAUACUGCACUCGGAGUGGGUCUCGGCUUGUUGAUUCUGUACAUUGUCUUUUUGGUGAUCAGUUCUCAACAGACAAUCUACAAGCCUCCAAAUGAGCCCUGAGAAUGCACAGCACUGACACGAUGUUCGUAUCUGAAUCGGAAGUCCCCACCUGACCACUCACCCCAACCCAACGACGCACAAGCAAGAGAAGUCCCGGUUUGAGGUCACACUCUUGGAAUCGUUCCAACAAGGGCACGUUCACAUGAGCAUAUAUGCCUUGUGAUUUCUGCACACUUGACUUGACGCCCAGAAACAGAAUGCAUCAACUGCAAGCCAAUGCACUUGAGGGGACGUCAAAUGAUCCAAAAGUUGCAUCUCCCCAUAGAUUUACAGUUGCCCAUCCACAUUAAUUGAUGAACCUCGUGUGUGAUCCGGCUCCCCCAUACACAAACAUCCCAAACCAAAACAAUAGAAUGAGGACAGGCAAACAGAUAGGCACCAAUGGUCACCUGUCAACUAUUGGCCCAUUUGAUGGUGGGUCAAUGCCCCAAUCAAUGGCUCCAGUAUUACCAAGGACAAAACAUCAUCAACCAUUCCCUUAGAACAGCUUUCCCCAACUGCUGCCCUCCAGUUGGGUUGAACUAAAACAUCCAGCAUGCCCCAGUACAUUGAAAAGGCACCAGUUUGAGCAAGGCUGCCUUAGAAUCAUGAGAUGGGUGUAGUACCACUUUCCAGGUGUAUUUACACCUUCUGCCCAUUCUCUUACCCAGAUACAGUACCUUUCGUAUUGUAUAUUCUAGAUUAUCAACUCUGGUAUAGGCUUUCUUCUGGCCUUCUCCUCUACCUCUUAUUCACCUGGAUCUCUUUCUUUUCAGUCUGAAUUAUCUAGGAUUCCCAACUUCCCUUGGGCCACAGCUAGACCUAAGGUUUAUCCUUGGAUCAUCCAGGGUUCGCCCCUGCCUGAGCACUGGAUCCCCUGUGUGUCACCUAGAUGAACAGGUUUGACCCCUGGACGAUCCAGGGAUAAACCUUAGGUCUAGCUAUGGCCUUGGUCUGCUGCCCAUAUUCUCCAACACGUCACAGAUGAAAACAAAGGUAUAACACCCCUAGUUUCUUACCCUAAAUUGCUACCCAAGCCUUCCAAUGGGCUCCCAUGUCCCUCGGUGAUCAUUGGGAUCAUCUUUUGCCCCCCGACUGUGGAAUGAUCACCCCAAUGAGGCUCGCCUGGCGCCAACUUUGUUAUCUUUUCGGCGCCAGGUCAAGACUUUUCUCUUCUCCCAGGCAUUUUAACAGCAUUUAACAACAUUAAGUUUGUUUUUAAUGGACCCCAGAAUUGUUGUUUUUAAAUGGAUACUGUUGUUUUAUACUGUUUUUAUGUUUUUUUUAAUUUUUGUAUACUUUUAAUGUUUACUAUUUUUAAUUGUUGUAAACCGCCCAGAGAGCUUCGGCUGUGGGGCGGUAUAUAAAUGUAAUAAAAUAAAUAAAUAAAUAAAUAAAUAACCAGCCAAUCACCACCAGCCAUUUCAUCACAACCACAAAUUAUUUAAUGUUUGUUUUAAUUGUGACUGCUUUUCAAAAACAGGUGAACCAACGAAUCAAAUUAAUCCAGUUCUGCCUUUUCGCUGCUGUUAACUGAACACAAUUAACAAGAGAUUAGUCUUGAAGCACCAGUGUACCAUUUCUUAACAACAUAAAAUAGGAACAUUCCUUGGAUUUUCACCAGAACUAUCCCCAUAAAUGUUUUGUGGCCAUGUUGAAAGUGAGUUGAAUGUUUCAGUUUUAGCAUCAUUUCGUUGCUUGUGGCAGCUGAUUGGAAACAAAUUUAGCCUCACAGUAAACCAAACCCUAUAAAAUGUAAGACUAAGGCAUAGAACCAGCUAUAUUGUAGACAAUGUCAAAUGAACAUGAGCUAAUAAAUGACUGCCAUCAGAUGAUAGCCCAAUCUAUAAAACCGUAAUAUAAGAUGGCCCCCAUAACAUCGAACUACAAGCUGUGUAUUUAAUGAAUUGUGCAUAUUUUGCUCGAUACAUGGAAUGAAGAUGGCUUUCCAAUGUUAUUGAGUGAAGAGAAGCCAUCAGCAUCAUUAAAGAUUGUGGAAAUAC
Long non-coding RNA from Elgaria multicarinata webbii, 2861 nucleotides. RefSeq lists it as uncharacterized. The record is from RefSeq and is a predicted model, not a curated record. The transcript is spliced from 2 exons. Lineage: Eukaryota; Metazoa; Chordata; Lepidosauria; Squamata; Anguidae.